ACUACGGGGGGCAGCAGUGGGGGAUAUUGCACAAUGGGGGAAACCCUGAUGCAGCGACGCCGCGUGUGGGAAGACGGUCCUCUGGAUUGUAAACCACUGUCCCCAGGGACGAAGAUGACGGUACCUGGGGAGGAAGCUCCGGCUAACUACGUGCCAGCAGCCGCGGUAAUACGUAGGGAGCGAGCGUUGUCCGGAAUUACUGGGUGUAAAGGGAGCGUAGGCGGGACUGCAAGUUGGGUGUCAAAUCUACCGGCUCAACCGGUAGCCGCACUCAAAACUGCAGUUCUUGAGUGAAGUAGAGGCAGGCGGAAUUCCUAGUGUAGCGGUGAAAUGCGUAGAUAUUAGGAGGAACACCAGUGGCGAAGGCGGCCUGCUGGGCUUUUACUGACGCUGAGGCACGAAAGUGUGGGGAGCAAACAGGAUUAGAUACCCUAGUAGC
Molecule: ribosomal RNA, 439 nt
Filed under: uncultured bacterium
Lineage: Bacteria
Description: partial 16S ribosomal RNA
Rfam family: Bacterial small subunit ribosomal RNA
Source: RNAcentral